GUGAGCGUAGCUCAGGUGGUUAGAGUUCUGGAUUGUGGAUCCAGAGGUCGCGGGUUCAAGUCCCGUCGCUCACCCCA
RNAcentral lists this transfer RNA (77 nucleotides) under Synergistaceae bacterium. RNAcentral describes it as "tRNA-His". It matches the Rfam family "tRNA". Rfam says of the family: Transfer RNA (tRNA) molecules are approximately 80 nucleotides in length. Their secondary structure includes four short double-helical elements and three loops (D, anti-codon, and T loops). Further hydrogen bonds mediate the characteristic L-shaped molecular structure. tRNAs have two regions of fundamental functional importance: the anti-codon, which is responsible for specific mRNA codon recognition, and the 3' end, to which the tRNAs corresponding amino acid is attached (by aminoacyl-tRNA synthetases). tRNAs cope with the degeneracy of the genetic code in two manners: having more than one tRNA (with a specific anti-codon) for a particular amino acid; and 'wobble' base-pairing, i.e. permitting non-standard base-pairing at the 3rd anti-codon position. Lineage: Bacteria; Thermotogati; Synergistota; Synergistia; Synergistales; Synergistaceae. The record is from RNAcentral.